CCUACGGGAGGCAGCAGUGAGGAAUAUUGGUCAAUGGGCGAGAGCCUGAACCAGCCAAGUCGCGUGAAGGAUGACGGCCCUACGGGUUGUAAACAUCUUUUGUCAGGGAGCAAUUGAGUCGGCGUGUGGGCUUAGCGAGAGUACCUGAAGACAAAACAUCGGCUAACUCGGUGCCAGCAGCCGCGGUAAUACGGAGGAUGCGAGCGUUAUCCGGAUUUAUUGGGUUUACAGGGUGCGUAGGCGGAAGUUCAAGUCAGCGGUAAAAAUUCGGGGCUCAACCCCGUCGUGCAGUUGAAACUGAUGUUCUUGAGUGGGCGAGAAGUAUGCGGAAUGCGUGGUGUAGCGGUGAAAUGCAUAGAUAUCACGCAGAACUCCGAUUGCGAAGGCAGCAUACCGGCGCCCAACUGACGCUGAAGCACGAAAGCGUGGGUAGCGAACAGGAUUAGAUACCCUUGUAGUC
Molecule: ribosomal RNA, 460 nt
Filed under: uncultured bacterium
Lineage: Bacteria
Description: partial 16S ribosomal RNA
Rfam family: Bacterial small subunit ribosomal RNA
Source: RNAcentral